This 468-nucleotide ribosomal RNA is filed under the name uncultured bacterium. Its description in RNAcentral is "partial 16S ribosomal RNA". It matches the Rfam family "Bacterial small subunit ribosomal RNA", at positions 28 to 507 of the family's 1533-position model. The record is from RNAcentral.
GACGAACGCUGGCGGCGUGCUUAACACAUGCAAGUCGAACGGAAAGGCCCUGCUUUUGUGGGGUGCUCGAGUGGCGAACGGGUGAGUAACACGUGAGUAACCUGCCCUUGACUUUGGGAUAACUUCAGGAAACUGGGGCUAAUACCGGAUAGGAGCUCCUGCUGCAUGGUGGGGGUUGGAAAGUUUCGGCGGUUGGGGCUGGACUCGCGGCUUAUCAGCUUGUUGGUGGGGUAGUGGCUUACCAAGGCUUUGACGGGUAGCCGGCCUGAGAGGUGGACCGGCCACAUUGGGACUGAGAGACGGCGCAGACUCCUACGGGAGGCAGCAGUGGGGAAUAUUGCACAAUGGGCGGAAGCCUGAUGCAGCAACGCCGCGUGCGGGAUGACGGCCUUCGGGUUAUAAACCGCUUUCGCCUGUGACGAAGCGUGAGUGACGGUAAUGGGUAAAGAAGCACCGGCUAACUACGUG